Long non-coding RNA from Alosa sapidissima (American shad), 99 nucleotides. RefSeq lists it as uncharacterized. NCBI's taxonomy places the organism in Eukaryota, Metazoa, Chordata, Actinopteri, Clupeiformes, Clupeidae. The transcript is spliced from 4 exons. The record is from RefSeq and is a predicted model, not a curated record.
CUGAACAAUAUGGCAGCUUUGAGUACAGCUCUGCAAUUUGAUUGAGUUUAGAACACUGUUGGGGAAUACAGUGUAGUGAUGUGGGGGGUUGUAUCUUUC